Molecule: long non-coding RNA, 3382 nt
Organism: Peromyscus leucopus (white-footed mouse)
Lineage: Eukaryota; Metazoa; Chordata; Mammalia; Rodentia; Cricetidae
Exons: 3
Source: RefSeq, a predicted model, not a curated record
GCAACGCCACCUGGAAACUUCCACACAGCUAAGGUCUUUGAGAGAGAGAAAACCCUUCUUCUGCCUUAGCAAUAUAGUUCUCUCUCCUUAGAAAGUGGCUGAGACUCCGUCACACUGCUUCUUGCCCAGGGCUCAGAAAGGGUGGCCAGCCACACUGUCAGGUGAGAAGGCACAGUUGACGUGAAGCGAGACGUGCGUGGCACCUGUCAAGGAUGUCAAUACUACAGUUUGAACUUCAGGAGUUUCUGGGGAACGGUUAAAGCACCAUCGUCCCUGCAUUCUCUUUUAUAAGAAACUGAAGAAGUGGAGAGAGUCUUUACAAGUCCCAUUUUCGGGGAGGCCCCGAGGCAGCCUGUGAUUCAACAUUUAAACAGAGGCAAACACACUUCCACGCUGACCUGCAUACGUUUCAGGAAAACUCUGGGAAAGAAGAGGAAAAGAGAAAUACGAGACCAAAUAUUUACAUCAGGAAGAAAAGUACAAAUCUCUACAUGAAACAAUACGGGACUGCCAAGGGUUGCACUUAAUCUGUCAUUAAAAAAUGACGCAUUAUCAAAUUCACAACCCAGAUUUUUUCAUUUUAGUAAAGAGCAGAACCUGGUUAGUCUUCCUUCAGACCUUCACAGUCCACAUUCUUUUUUUUUUUUUUUUUAAUGUUACAUAAGCUUCCAACAGUGAAUGUUCUUGAAUGUUCCCAUGUGUUCAGUGAUGUCUGAACAGUAUGAACAUGAAGGAAACCAUUUCUUAGUGUAGAUGUCCUAAUGAUUACCUGUCCCUUUUUAAGAAGGCCAAGAGAGGAAGGGGAGCCCCGGUGUGGUCUCAGCAGUCAUGAACUGUAUUCUAAAGACUGGGUUUUUUCCUUCUGUAAAGCCCUAUGUAUGGAUGGUCACAGAUGCCCAUGUGCUCAGUGAAUAACUGGACAGUGACAGAUGAAACUGGAAAGUGCAUAGUUUCUGUCUUAAAGGUUUCACAAGGCUGUGGGCCAGCGCUAGAGCACUUACUUGCCUAGCUCAUGUGAGGCCCUGGAUUGAAUUCCCAGAUGUCAUUAUUUUUGUUUUUAACAGAGCAGAGAGAGGUUUUUACAGCAGAACAAGGGCGAGUGGGGUGUCCCAGAAGGUAAAGGCACUGGCUGACAAGCCCGACAACCCAAGUUCAAAUCUCCAGGAUACACACAGUAGGAGAGAAGCAGCUCCCAAGAGUUAUGAGCUAUCCUCUGACACUUCACCACACCUAGGCCAUGGCGCAUGCUCUCUACUCCCCACCUAUAACGAAAUAGAUGUAACCAAAAACAAAAACAAAAUGAGAGAGAGAGAGAGAGAGAGAGAGAGAGAGAGAGAGAGAGAGAGAGAGAGAGAGAGAGCCAGCCGUUUCUUUACAGGUGCCACUCAGGACUUAACCAUGCAGGAGCAUUGUGGUUUGGAUCCUAAAUACCACAGAGGCUAAUGUGCGAACAACUCGGUUGCCGGCCUGUGGUAUUACUGGGAGGUAAUGGAACCUUUAAGAGGCAAGGCCCAGGGAGAAGUUAAGCUGUUGGAGGCAUGCCCAUGAAGGGCUCAGGACUCUAGCCCCUCCGUUCUCUCUCCUCCUUUUGCUUCCUGAUUGUGGGAACACUAGCAGAUGUCUUGUGUUAUGCACUCCCACCUGAUGCGUGGCUUUGCCACAGAUCCCAAGCAAUAGGGCUACACAACCAUGGGCCAAAACUCUGAACUCACGAUCCCAAAUAAACCAUCCCUAACUGGAAGCUGUUUAUCUAAGGUAUCUUGUCACAGCGACUUUUAUAAAGCCAACUAACACCCAGGGCUCUUCUCCCUGGAAGAUGAUGUGCAGGAGGCAAAAUAGAGCCAGAAAGGCCUCUGGUUCACUUGUAACUGAAAGCUCAACCUAUCUUUAAUUUUUGAAAAGAAUGGGAGAUAAUGACUCCAAUAUGGAAGACUAGUUUUAUAAAUAGCCAGUUGCCCAGAAUGAGUCACAAGCUUGGAGCCCUGAGUUGUAAACAGCAGGGAUCUCACUUGUUUUGCAAGCAGUAGCCCUGGUGAGCACAGGCAAGCUGGCAGAUUGUUUCAGUGGCUGCAAUGUUUUUGGUCCCUAUUUGCAAAGUUGGAGGGAAGUCCCGGCAGAAAGAAAACACGGAAAGACAUCUUGAUGCUUAUAAUGAGAUGGAUCUUGGUGGGGCAGGAACUUGGGGACCAGGUCUGGUACCAGUGGGUGGCAAAUGUCUGGCUCCAUUAACACAGAUAAACCAGUUGUGGGAAAGACUACCCUUAGCACAGGGUUUCAUCACCUCAAGACUCUUCCUCAGGUGAUAAUGAGUUAACAAACAGGGCUGCUAAGGAGCAUUACCAAGUGACAUGGAGGAUACUCAGUUAAACUUGAACUUCAAAGCAAUUUACAUUCCACACUUACACACAUAGCAGGAAAUGAUUUGUUAUUCAUUUACCUGAGGUUCAAAUUCAACUAGGCACCGAUUUUUUUUCUGUUGUCAGUAUUUGUUUGUUUUCUGAACACACAACUUGAUUCCCAUGACAAGGUUGUGAGAAAGGAUGAAACACAAAAGCAGGAGGAGGGGAGAGCAGAGCAAAAUACACAGGCUCAGAAACAAUGGACUUUUGUCACCUCUAGUGGUUUGAACAAGGAUGGUCUCCAUAGGUUUAUAUUUCUGAAUAUUUGGUGCCCAGUUGGUGGAACUUUUUUGGAAGGAGUAGGAGGUGUGGCUUUGUUAGAGGAAGUACGUCACUGGGGGCGGGCUUUGGGGUUUCAAAACCCACACCAUUCCCAGUUAGCUCUCACUGCCUUGUGGUUGGGUCUCAAGAUGUGAGCUCUCAGCUACUGCUCCAGCACCAUGGCUUCUUGCCUGUUGCCAUGCUCCCUACCACGGUUGUCAUGGACUCAAACCCUCUGGAACCAUAAGCCUCAAAUAAACUCUUUCUUCGACAAGUUGCCUUGGUCAUGGCGUUUUAUCACAGCCAUCGAAAAGUAAUGAAGAUAUGAGCCAAUGCAAAGUUUUGACAUACGUCCCUGUAAAGAUGGUAGAACUGAGAAAAGAUUUCAGACUUGGAUGAGCAUCCAAGAGAGUCCCAAACUGAAGGGAGAAGAAACAAGGUGAGUGUGUGUCCACAGAGGCUCACCUGUCUGGUCAUGUCAGAAUUCCAGGUGCUUCCUACAAGGGAAGAGGGAAGUUUCAAUGGGAGCAGACAGAAAAGGCACACAUCCCAUGAAAGAGCUAUCUCCAUCCUCUCAGGCAGGUGGCCACAGGUCUGAGGGCUCCAUACAUGGGUUCCUCAGAUGCCCAGGAGACUGAGGCAAGAACAGGAGGGAUGAUGGACAGAUGGACACUUAAGACUGUCCCUUUUAGAAUGGGCCUGGGCAUGUGUAUGCCAUUGGC